Molecule: long non-coding RNA, 361 nt
Filed under: Vulpes vulpes (red fox)
Lineage: Eukaryota; Metazoa; Chordata; Mammalia; Carnivora; Canidae
Description: lncRNA (ENSVVUG00000010065.1)
Source: RNAcentral
CUAGCAACCAUUCCCCCUUUAUGUUGUUCAUUCAAGAAAACUGCUUUUUCUUUGUGUAAAGAAGGAUCAAAGGCGAAAAUAUAGAGGGAACACCUAGAGACCUAAUUCAGAAUUUGAAGAAUGCAAAAUGAAUAUCUGCCAGCUAAAUCUCCAUAAACUGGCAGAGACCAGAGCACCGAGGAACCUUCUGAGAAAUGAUACUGCAUAAGGGAACUCUACAGAUAACAUGGAGUUGAAAGCAUCCUGCACGUCGCCUCCCUCAAAAUCUCACACGCAAAAACCAAGUCUUUACUAUGUUCGCGACCUGAGGAAACAGACACGAAUACAAAAUCGUUGUUCUCCUGAAAGAGUGUGCAUCUGA